AUUGAACGCUGGCGGCAGGCCUAACACAUGCAAGUCGAGCGAGCGGCGGACGGGAGACUUAUGUAUGGGGAUCUGAGUGAUGGAGGGGGAUAACUAAUGGAAGCGGUUGCUACUACCGCAUUGCAUCAGAUGAACCCAUAUGGGAUUAGAUUGUAGGUGAGGUAACGGCACACCUAGGCGACGAUCCCUAGCUGGUCUGAGAGGAUGAUCAGCCACACUGGGACUGAGACACGGCCCAGACUCCUACGGGAGGCAGCAGUGGGGAAUAUUGCACAAUGGGCGCAAGCCUGAUGCAGCCAUGCCGCGUGUAUGAAGAAGGCCUUCGGGUUGUAAAGUACUUUCAGUCGGGAGGCGUUACCGACAGAAGAAGCACCGGCUAACUCCGUGCCAGCAGCCGCGGUAAUUC
Molecule: ribosomal RNA, 406 nt
Filed under: uncultured bacterium
Lineage: Bacteria
Description: partial 16S ribosomal RNA
Rfam family: Bacterial small subunit ribosomal RNA
Source: RNAcentral